RNAcentral lists this ribosomal RNA (254 nucleotides) under uncultured bacterium. RNAcentral describes it as "partial 16S ribosomal RNA". It matches the Rfam family "Bacterial small subunit ribosomal RNA", at positions 524 to 776 of the family's 1533-position model. The record is from RNAcentral.
UACGUAGGGAGCAAGCGUUGUCCGGAAUCAUUGGGCGUAAAGAGCGCGUAGGCGGUCCGAUAAGUCAGCUGUGAAAGUCAAGGGCUCAACCCUUGAAAGCCGGUUGAUACUGUCGGGCUAGAGUCCGGAAGAGGCGAGUGGAAUUCCCGGUGUAGCGGUGAAAUGCGCAGAUAUCUGGAGGAACACCGGUGGCGAAGGCGGCAUCCUGGACCAACACUGACGCUGAGUGAGCGAAAGCCAGGGGAGCAAACGGG